RNAcentral lists this unclassified non-coding RNA (336 nucleotides) under soil metagenome. Its description in RNAcentral is "partial contains 5.8S ribosomal RNA, internal transcribed spacer 2, and large subunit ribosomal RNA". The stretch from base 1 to 120 matches the Rfam family "5.8S ribosomal RNA", at positions 35 to 154 of the family's 154-position model. The record is from RNAcentral.
GAUGAAGAACGCAGCGAAAUGCGAUAAGUAGUGUGAAUUGCAGAAUUCCGUGAAUCAUCGAAUCUUUGAACGCACAUUGCGCCCCUUGGUAUUCCGGGGGGCAUGCCUGUUCGAGCGUCAUUUCAACCCUCAAGCUCUGCUUGGUAUUGGGCUCCGUCCUCCUCGGACGCGCCUCAAAGACCUCGGCGGUGGCGUCUUGCCUCAAGCGUAGUAGAAACACCUCGCUUUGGAGUGCAUGGCGUCGCCCGCCGGACGAAACCUUUUGUAUUUUCUCAAGGUUGACCUCGGAUCAGGUAGGGAUACCCGCUGAACUUAAGCAUAUCAAUAAGCGGAGGA